RNAcentral lists this ribosomal RNA (274 nucleotides) under uncultured bacterium. Its description in RNAcentral is "partial 16S ribosomal RNA". It matches the Rfam family "Bacterial small subunit ribosomal RNA", at positions 523 to 796 of the family's 1533-position model. The record is from RNAcentral.
AUACGAAAGGUGCAAGCGUUGUUCGGAUUUACUGGGCGUAAAGAGAGUGUAGGUUGCUUAUUAAGUCGGAUGUGAAAUCCCGGGGCUCAACCUCGGAACUGCAUUCGAUACUGGUAGACUAGAGUUCGGGAGGGGUAAGCGGAAUUCCGUGUGUAGCAGUGAAAUGCGUAGAUAUACGGAGGAACACCUGAGGCGAAGGCGGCUUACUGGACCGAUACUGACACUGAGACUCGAAAGCGUGGGUAGCAAACAGGAUUAGAAACCCGGGUAGUCC